GGAUUGUGGCUCAGCGAUGGAGCGCUUGCCUAGCAUGUGUGAGGCCCUGGGUUCGAUCCUCAGCACCA
Molecule: transfer RNA, 68 nt
Filed under: Marmota monax (woodchuck)
Lineage: Eukaryota; Metazoa; Chordata; Mammalia; Rodentia; Sciuridae
Description: tRNA.Ala
Source: RNAcentral